AUUGAACGCUGGCGGCAGGCCUAACACAUGCAAGUCGAGCGGAUGAAGGGAGCUUGCUCCUGGAUUCAGCGGCGGACGGGUGAGUAAUGCCUAGGAAUCUGCCUGGCAGUGGGGGAUAACGUCCGGAAACGGGCGCUAAUACCGCAUACGUCCUGAGGGAGAAAGUGGGGGAUCUUCGGACCUCACGCUAUCAGAUGAGCCUAGGUCGGAUUAGCUAGUUGGUGGGGUAAAGGCCUACCAAGGCGACGAUCCGUAACUGGUCUGAGAGGAUGAGCAGUCACACUGGAACUGGGACACGGUCCAGACUCCUACGGGAGGCAGCAGUGGGGAAUAUUGGACAAUGGGCGAAAGCCUGAUCCAGCCAUGCCGCGUGUGUGAAGAAGGUCUUCGGAUUGUAAAGCACUUUAAGUUGGGAAGAAGAGCAGUAAGUUAAUACCUUGCUGUUUUGACGUUACCAACAGAAUAAGCACCGGCUAACUUCGUG
Molecule: ribosomal RNA, 484 nt
Filed under: uncultured bacterium
Lineage: Bacteria
Description: partial 16S ribosomal RNA
Rfam family: Bacterial small subunit ribosomal RNA
Source: RNAcentral